AUGGCCGAAUGCUUCAAUAGGGUGCUCAAAGGUGCACGUGGAUUACCCGUGACGGCAAUAGUUCAAUACACAUUUGACAAGAUGAAUGCGUACUUUGUAAAGUACUCGAUGGAAAUGGAUGCACAGAUAGCGGGUGAGAACCCAUGCAAGUACAAGUACAAGUUCCCACCCAAGGUUGAUGAAUGGUUGGAAUUUCAAUCACGGAAGGCGGACUCAGAAGAAGCUAUAUUAUAUGACAACGAAGAGUGGAAGUAUGAAGUGAAAGAGCCAGGAGGAACCACAAACGAUGGCCGUCAACACAGAGGUCGGGCUUUCAAGGUGUCGUUAACACAAUGUGAUUGCUCUUGCAGGAGGCCAUUGUUGCUUCAUCUCCCAUGCUCACACUUGUAUACCGUCGGUCGCGUUAGGAAUGUGGACAUCAAUCACCCACGCACCAUGAGGGAGUCGGAGUUCUCAAUAAUGACGGUCAAGAAAACAUGGGCUCCCCGCUUUCACCCAUACUUUGACCAAUCACAAUGGCCGGAGUACCAUGGAGUUCAACUAUGGCCGGAUCCG
RNAcentral lists this ribosomal RNA (555 nucleotides) under Triticum aestivum (bread wheat). Its description in RNAcentral is "partial small subunit ribosomal RNA". The record is from RNAcentral. Lineage: Eukaryota; Viridiplantae; Streptophyta; Magnoliopsida; Poales; Poaceae.